UACGUAGGUGGCAAGCGUUUGUCCGGAUUAUUGGGUUUAAAGGGUGCGUAGGCGGCUUGAUAAGUCAGUGGUGAAAGCCGAUCGCUUAACGAUCGAACUGCCAUUGAUACUGCCAGGCUUGAGUAUAGUUGAGGUAGGCGGAAUUGACAGUGUAGCGGUGAAAUGCAUAGAUAUUGUCAAGAAACACCAAUUGCGAAAGGCAGCUUCUAAAGUAUAACUGACGCUGAGGCACG
RNAcentral lists this ribosomal RNA (233 nucleotides) under uncultured bacterium. RNAcentral's name for it is "partial 16S ribosomal RNA". It matches the Rfam family "Bacterial small subunit ribosomal RNA", at positions 524 to 755 of the family's 1533-position model. The record is from RNAcentral.